UUUUGCUCUCUUUUGUUCUUUUUUUCUUUCUGCCUAUCUCUUUCUGGAGCCCCUUUCCGCCCUGCCUGUCUCGUUGUGAAGGGCAGGGCAGAAAGAAAUUGGCUACUGUUUGGCUGGAAAAAAAGAAAGAAAUCGUCUUUAUCUUCGUGUGAGAGUCGAUAAUAACACAGAAGCAAG
RNAcentral lists this non-coding RNA (177 nucleotides) under Palpitomonas bilix. The record is from RNAcentral.